This 22-nucleotide microRNA is filed under the name Echinops telfairi (small Madagascar hedgehog). Lineage: Eukaryota; Metazoa; Chordata; Mammalia; Afrosoricida; Tenrecidae. The record is from RNAcentral.
AUCACACAAAGGUAACUUUGGU